Molecule: long non-coding RNA, 2007 nt
Organism: Mus pahari (shrew mouse)
Lineage: Eukaryota; Metazoa; Chordata; Mammalia; Rodentia; Muridae
Exons: 3
Source: RefSeq, a predicted model, not a curated record
AGAGGAUCCCAGUUUCCCCGCUAACACGCAGCUGUCACAUCUAGUUGCAGACAGCCACUUCUUCCCAGCUGUUUUCCUGCUCGGGCAAGAAGGCACCCUAUUCCAAAAGCGAGUCGGCUGGAGGAGGAGUCUACGUGGUGCUUGCUGCAGGUCAAUUUUGUUUGGAAAUGAAUGUUAAGAAAAGCAUUGACUGAUCACUCCAGGUAGCAGUCUCACAACAUCAAUCUAUUGAUUUUCACUGUAUGGGGUGAAGAAGAAACCACCAAGUCAGGUACGACUUUCAGGCUCAAAAAUUAUCCACUUGAAAUUAAACAUAUAUAAUGCACUACAGACUGAAACUUUUAAAAUCCUCUUACAAUGGAGCUUGAAGCAAUUGGUUUUGGAAAUUGCUAGAAGAAAUCUUUAUUAUUUUUUUUUCUCGAAUGCACAAUCACUGUUGUAGAAAAGAAACCAUACAAGCACUUGUUAAGACUUCUACAUUGUAUUGUACCCCACCUAAUAAUUAGCCUCUCAGAAUAUAUUCUGCCUAAAUGUCCCUAGCCACAUUUCCAAAGUAAUCUGAUGCCCAUUGUUCUUCCUUUUGAUAUGCACUGGUAGUCCACAGUAUCUUCUUAUUCUAAUCAGUAUUUCAAUGCCUGUUGAAAUGUCUGUUUAAAUGAAAGUAGCAGUGAUUAGUGGCACAGAUGUUUCCCUGAAAUUAAAAUUGUAUGGGUUAAAACCACAAAUUAAGCCAAGUACAGUCUUUGCAUGCAUAUUCAUGGUUUUUUGGGUGGGGGAUGGGUGGUGGGGCAAACAUUACUGUCAAGUGAAUAUGCUACAGCCUAAAGUUGUGAAACUCUGACUGGGAAAAGAGGGGACAUCUGAAAAUAGGUCAGCAUCAACUCUGAAGAAUGGUUAUACAAUUUUAAUGUGUUGGAAAAAUAAAGUAUCACUUCCCUUCACUCGUGAUCCUUGGAGAGACCUGGGAAAGAGAAAUAGGACAAUCAGAAUUGUAUGCCAAUUGAAAAACUGAAGAAAGAGUUUUAAAAGCUCAUGAAGGAAUCAUCAUUACUUAUUGAUAUAUUAAUAUUAUGUGGUAUUUAUCUGCUAUUGACCUAAAGUGCUAUAAAUAUCAGCAUAUAACAUUUAGUUGCCAAAUGGAACUAUUUAUAAUCACUCAACAAUGACAUAUUGGGUAUAUUUGCUUCUUAUUUGUGUUCACACUUUAGUGUUAUCCAUUAAGGUUUUAGUAUUUGACAAUGAGCAAAGGUUAAGGUAAUUGUAUCAGUGAACUGAUAAUAAUUUCCUAGUUAAGGAAGUCAAUAUGCAUUUGGUGAUUUUUUUUCUUCUAGUAUUUUUCUUUUUAUUUGAAUUUUACAAGCCAUCGUAAUAUGAAGAUAAGAAUCUGUGAAUUAGAUAGAUUCCUCUAACGACUUCCACAUGUAAGAAACUAGUAUUUAGGUCUCCUGAGACCCUAGGCCAUGCUGUAAUAUACUCACCUGAGGCUUUAUUUUCACAGACUUAUGAGAGUGCCCUCUUGUGUUAAUAUUCCUGAUUAAGAGGUUUUCCUUGCUCUUAGUUGAGAAGAAAAUCCCUCAGUGUUUUGUGACACCAGUCCUAUUCCAUAUCCUAUAUCUCUCUAUACUGACCCUGGUAGUGACUACUAUUUUUGAUCAUAGUAAUUAAAUUAUGGCUCCAUUUACUUUCAUUUGGAUUGCUGAAAGUUUUAAAGCAAAUUCUCAAUGAGGAAAUGUAGAAACAAAUAAACAGGUUAAAUUUUCUCAAUAAGUAUAUCACUAUUUUCAUCUCUAUGGGAAAACUAUACCCCAUCCUUUCUAUUAACUAGACAAAAUUACUUGUGCUAUGGGUACGUCAGGGUUUUUCCUAUAGACAGUUACUACCUUUGUUAAAUUAGUUAAUUAAUUUGGUGAGAUAAAUUAAAUAGAUGCAUGAUAGAUAGAUAGAUAGAGAGAUAGACCUAAGCAUAAGGAUUAAAGAAAAGAAAGAUAGUCUAAGAAAGUUGCACCU